AACGAACGCUGGCGGCGUGGAUAAGACAUGCAAGUCGAACGCUAAUUGCGGAGUAGCAAUAUUUCGUAGUUGGAGUGGCGCAAGGGUGCGUAACACGUGGGUAAUUUGCCGUGAAGCUCGGAAUAACUCGCUGAAAGGCGAGCUAAUACCGGAUGUGAUAUUUGGGAGGCAUCUCCUAAAUCUUAAAGCUGGGGACCGUAAGGCCUGGCACUUCACGAUAAGCCCGCGGCCUAUCAGCUAGUUGGUGAGGUAACGGCUCACCAAGGCUAAGACGGGUAGCUGGUCUGAGAGGAUGACCAGCCACACUGGGACUGAGACACGGCCCAGACUCCUACGGGAGGCAGCAGUGGGGAAUAUUGCGCAAUGGGCGAAAGCCUGACGCAGCGACGCCGCGUGGGUGAUGAAGGCC
Molecule: ribosomal RNA, 409 nt
Filed under: uncultured bacterium
Lineage: Bacteria
Description: bacterial SSU rRNA
Rfam family: Bacterial small subunit ribosomal RNA
Source: RNAcentral